This 253-nucleotide ribosomal RNA is filed under the name uncultured bacterium. RNAcentral's name for it is "partial 16S ribosomal RNA". It matches the Rfam family "Bacterial small subunit ribosomal RNA", at positions 524 to 776 of the family's 1533-position model. The record is from RNAcentral.
UACGGAGGGUGCAAGCGUUAUCCGGAUUUACUGGGUUUAAAGGGUGCGUAGGUGGGUCUGUAAGUCAGUGGUGAAAUCUUCGAGCUUAACUCGGAAACUGCCAUUGAUACUAUAGGUCUUGAAUUAUCUGGAGGUGAGCGGAAUAUGUCAUGUAGCGGUGAAAUGCUUAGAUAUGACAUAGAACACCAAUUGCGAAGGCAGCUCACUACGGAUGUAUUGACACUGAGGCACGAAAGCGUGGGGAUCAAACAGG